RNAcentral lists this ribosomal RNA (911 nucleotides) under uncultured bacterium. RNAcentral's name for it is "bacterial SSU rRNA". It matches the Rfam family "Bacterial small subunit ribosomal RNA", at positions 74 to 990 of the family's 1533-position model. The record is from RNAcentral.
AGUUCUUCGGAACUAGAGACCGGCGCACGGGUGCGUAACGCGUAUGCAAUCUACCUUUUACAGAGGGAUAGCCCAGAGAAAUUUGGAUUAAUACCUCAUAGUAUGUGAGAAUCGCAUGGUUUUCACAUUAAAGUUCCAACGGUAAAAGAUGAGCAUGCGUCCCAUUAGCUAGAUGGUAAGGUAACGGCUUACCAUGGCGACGAUGGGUAGGGGUCCUGAGAGGGAGAUCCCCCACACUGGUACUGAGACACGGACCAGACUCCUACGGGAGGCAGCAGUGAGGAAUAUUGGACAAUGGGCGCAAGCCUGAUCCAGCCAUGCCGCGUGCAGGAUGACGGUCCUAUGGAUUGUAAACUGCUUUUGUACAGGAAGAAACACUCCCUCGUGAGGGAGCUUGACGGUACUGUAAGAAUAAGGAUCGGCUAACUCCGUGCCAGCAGCCGCGGUAAUACGGAGGAUCCAAGCGUUAUCCGGAAUCAUUGGGUUUAAAGGGUCCGUAGGCGGUUUAAUAAGUCAGUGGUGAAAGCCCAUCGCUCAACGGUGGAACGGCCAUUGAUACUGUUAAACUUGAAUUAUUAGGAAGUAACUAGAAUAUGUAGUGUAGCGGUGAAAUGCUUAGAGAUUACAUGGAAUACCAAUUGCGAAGGCAGGUUACUACUAAUGGAUUGACGCUGAUGGACGAAAGCGUGGGUAGCGAACAGGAUUAGAUACCCUGGUAGUCCACGCCGUAAACGAUGGAUACUAGCUGUUGGGAGCAAUCUCAGUGGCUAAGCGAAAGUGAUAAGUAUCCCACCUGGGGAGUACGUUCGCAAGAAUGAAACUCAAAGGAAUUGACGGGGGCCCGCACAAGCGGUGGAGCAUGUGGUUUAAUUCGAUGAUACGCGAGGAACCUUACCAAGGCUUAAAUGUAG